Long non-coding RNA from Dermochelys coriacea (leatherback sea turtle), 1666 nucleotides. RefSeq lists it as uncharacterized. The transcript is spliced from 3 exons. The record is from RefSeq and is a predicted model, not a curated record. Lineage: Eukaryota; Metazoa; Chordata; Testudines; Dermochelyidae.
CUUAUUUGUUGUUUGCAGAGAAGGCUUUACAGUACUUUGCAGUUUACAUACAAUGUUUUUUUCUAACUCUCUUACCUUUGUGAUACUGAUCUAAUGGCUUUAUAAAAAAAAUAAAACAAAACUUUAGCAUUGUGCAAUAAUUCUGACUUCAUGCUAAUCAGAAUGUUAUCUUGUUAAUUACCUGACAUUCAUCUUUAGAUGAUUUGUGGAUAAAUUAUUGUUAUUGACUUUUUCCUUCUGCAGACUCCAUAUCCUAUUUGUUUUUAAAGAUAGCUAACUUAAAUUGAUUAAUUUUCUAUAUACUGAAUACUGUUAAAACAAUAUUGAUGCUUGAUAUAUUUAGUCAUAACUUUCUUAUGUUUUAACCACUGUUCUAACCUGUAUCCACUGGGGGAUAUUUCAAGAAAACAGAUACUGUUUCAAGGGUAAUUACUGAUUUCUAUUCUCAUUAACAUAUAUGUUUACACUUUAGGUUUCCUUGCCAACUGUUGGAUUUCUUUUGAUUCUGCUCGUUGUUCCUUUUUCCUAUGCAUAUACUUCUUUGAGAAUUGGAACUAAAGAGGCAUAGGGCAUGGGAAAAUGGGGCGACUGAGGUACUCCACCACACACUCAUUCUACAAAGCAUCAUUGGGAGGCAUGUGGGGGAAAAAAAUGAAAGCAUAGUAAGUACCUGGUAUAAACAAACAGGUUAAUUGUGAAAUUCUAAGGGUAGAAAAAUGCUUAUUAAUAGUAAUUUUUAGGAAUUUGUAUAAUAUUUACUCAAUUACAAUAGCUGAAUGUUUGUCUCAUGUUAAUACAUUUAUUUAAAUUUCUUGUCAUGGGAGUAAUAAUAUUUAGCACACCCCAUUUAUUCAAUUACAAGAAUCAAUAUGAAUCUGUUAGAGGUUCCUUCUUAAAGAAAUGCAUUGCUUAGGGUUCACUCCUGUAAUCCUUACUCAAGCAAAGCUGCCAUUAAAUUAAUGGGAGUUUUGCUGGAAUAAGACUGCAAAAGUGGGCACUUUGGGUCCAAUCCAAAGCCUACUGAAAUCAGUGAGAUUCUUUUUAUUGAGUUCAAUGAACCUGAACCAGUCAUGCCACUGUUAUGAAUGUUGGUGAUCUUUAAUGGGACUACUCAUGGGAAUAAGGAUCACAGGGUUCUUAGGGUCCGAUCCUGCAAAAUGCCCAGUGCCUCUUGUAUGGUGCUGAGAACACACAGCUCCCACUGAAGUCAUCUUGCAGGAUCAGGCCACUAGUCUGAAAGAAGUAAAGAAAGAUAAAACUCACUUUUUCCUUUGUUUCAUCCACAGGUAUUUGGGAAGUGCAACCUGUAACCCGACUCCAGUAUUUCACUCAGAAGGAAAAUAGCCAUUCAUUGCAGUGCUUUUAUGUCCGUUUAAUUUUAUUUAGUCUUGAUACAGAUAUGUGUUUUCUGGAAAAAGGGUUCAUAGAAAAUGAAAUAAAUUUGAAUGAUAUGUACCACAAGUGAAAUGGAAAUCUAAUAUUUUAAUCAUAAAUCAGAAGUUUGCCUAAUACUGUAUCACAAAUUCUAAUACGCUACUUUGUUUAUUGCUACAUGUUUAUAUAAAACAGGGCCAUGUCAUAUUACAUGGCAUUCAAUUUCUAACAUAUACUGUUAUUAUGCCACACAAUACAGGCUAAUUUAAACUAAGACUUAAACUAAGGUCAG